Molecule: long non-coding RNA, 261 nt
Organism: Vitis riparia (riverbank grape)
Lineage: Eukaryota; Viridiplantae; Streptophyta; Magnoliopsida; Vitales; Vitaceae
Exons: 3
Source: RefSeq, a predicted model, not a curated record
GAUAUGCAAAUGAGAAUCUCAAAAUAUGGGUGAUAGAAAAUGAAAUAAGGGAUUGCGUUGAUGGAAAUGCAACGACAAUGGCGAGUGAGAAUGAGGAUGAUGAGAAAUUUGUAAUCAAUCUAAACAAAGAUGUUAUUAAACGAGUUGAUGGUGGGAACUUAAUGGAGAUGGAUAAAACCUUUCAACAAUUAAAGACACAUCUAAUUGAUAUGGCUUAUGGUGCAAGUAGUAGUAGUUGUGAUCAAAUUUUGGCUAAAUUUG